Molecule: ribosomal RNA, 797 nt
Filed under: Aspergillus fumigatus
Lineage: Eukaryota; Fungi; Ascomycota; Eurotiomycetes; Eurotiales; Aspergillaceae
Description: LSU rRNA
Rfam family: Eukaryotic large subunit ribosomal RNA
Source: RNAcentral
UAGCAUAUCAAUAAGCGGAGGAAAAGAAACCAACAGGGAUUGCCUCAGUAACGGCGAGUGAAGCGGCAAGAGCUCAAAUUUGAAAGCUGGCCCCUUCGGGGUCCGCGUUGUAAUUUGCAGAGGAUGCUUCGGGUGCAGCCCCCGUCUAAGUGCCCUGGAACGGGCCGUCAUAGAGGGUGAGAAUCCCGUCUGGGACGGGGUGUCUGCGUCCGUGUGAAGCUCCUUCGACGAGUCGAGUUGUUUGGGAAUGCAGCUCUAAAUGGGUGGUAAAUUUCAUCUAAAGCUAAAUACUGGCCGGAGACCGAUAGCGCACAAGUAGAGUGAUCGAAAGAUGAAAAGCACUUUGAAAAGAGAGUUAAACAGCACGUGAAAUUGUUGAAAGGGAAGCGUUUGCGACCAGACUCGCCCGCGGGGUUCAGCCGGCAUUCGUGCCGGUGUACUUCCCCGUGGGCGGGCCAGCGUCGGUUUGGGCGGCCGGUCAAAGGCCCUCGGAAUGUAUCACCUCUCGGGGUGUCUUAUAGCCGAGGGUGCAAUGCGGCCUGCCUGGACCGAGGAACGCGCUUCGGCUCGGACGCUGGCGUAAUGGUCGUAAAUGACCCGUCUUGAAACACGGACCAAGGAGUCUAACAUCUACGCGAGUGUUCGGGUGUCAAACCCGUACGCGCAGUGAAAGCGAACGGAGGUGGGAGCCCCCUCGCGGGGCGCACCAUCGACCGAUCCUGAUGUCUUCGGAUGGAUUUGAGUACGAGCGUAGCUGUGGGGACCCGAAAGAUGGUGAACUAUGCCUGAAUAGGGCG